This is a non-coding RNA of Felis catus (domestic cat), 85 nucleotides long. The record is from Rfam. NCBI's taxonomy places the organism in Eukaryota, Metazoa, Chordata, Mammalia, Carnivora, Felidae.
GCCUGGGUGGCUCAGUCGGUUGAGCAUCUGACUUCAGCUCGGGUCAUGAUCUCACGGUUCAUGGGUUCAAGCCUCCCAUCAGGCU